AAUCGCUCCCAGCCUGGGAAGAAGCCUCCCACGCCAGGGCCCCGGACCCAGGAGAGGCCAUGGAAAGCCUGAACCCCAGCUGGCUGACACCCCCCACACCCCCAAGGGCCCUUAGUCUGAGACCAACUCUCCUGGACACCAGGGGCCCACGCAGGCCCUCCGUGCCCCAGUUACCUGUGCCCUGGAGGCAGCCACGGAGUCACGACCACGCGGGGGACGCCAGCCCACAGGCGGAGGCCGGUUUCGAGGCGGCUGGCAGCCGCCCCCCCACCCCAUGCCCUUUGGGUGGCACCUGUGCUGGUGGAGUGGGGGUGGCUGGCUUUGCACACAGGCCUGCUCCUGUACCGUGCUGCGACAGCCAUGAAGGAAGAACCUGGCUGAGUCUCCACCUGCCGUGGACUGUACCAGGUUUGGGGAGGCCAGGCACUGCUAAGGGUCAGUCUGCCCAGACCAGUGUGGACACACCAAGUGCCUGCGAGCCCCUGGGAGCUGCCCGUGCCAGGCUGGAGUGCCGGGGAGGGGCGAGGACAGCUGCAGCCCCGAGAUGUAAACAGGCUUGCAGGUAUAAAAGCUGGAGCCCCUGGGCCUCUCCACACCCCAGCCUGACCCACCUUCCAGAACUCUCGAAAGAAGCCAGGCAGAGGAGGAUCCAGCACCACGCGGCGUCUACGUCUGCUCUGGCCCAAGCAGCACCCCCAAUCCGUGCGUGCACCCCACGAAUUGACUCCCUAUCCACCCAGGACCAGGAUGGAGGAGGACUUCUCCUCCCAGAUGAAGAAGAUGGCCUUGGCCAUGGGCACGUCCCUAUCAGACAAGGACAUUGAGCUGCUGCCCACAGACAUGAGACACCACGGGUCCUUCAACUACCUCAAGUUCUUCAAGCACAUCCGCAAGCUCCACGCCUCGGGCCAGCUGGACGACGCCAUCCACACGGCCUUCCAGUCCCUGGACAAGGACAAGAGUGGCUUCAUUGAGUGGAACGAGAUCAAGUAAUGGCUGGCGGCCACGGAGGGGUGGGGCCCAGGCCACCCAGACCACGCCGAAUGCCCACAUGGCGGACCCGGCCUUCCCCCACCGGGUCCCCGCUGGCCUUGCAGCUGGCAGGGCUGGGCCAGAACCAGCUAGAAGCCCAGGAGGCUCAGAGGCCCAGGCUCCCGGCCCGAAGUGCCCUUGCCUACAAGGUGGGGGGCGAACGGCUCGUGAGUCACUGGGCACUGGCCGGAAGCCCCUUGGCCCUGACUCGAGCCCCCUUGGCCCCAGGUACAUCCUGUCCAUCAUCCCCAGCAGCGGGCCCACCACCCCGCUGACAGACGAGGAGGCCGAGGCCAUGAUCCAGGCGGCAGACACACACGGGGACGGGAGGAUCAACUACGAAGGAUUUUCUGAAUUGAUCAAAAAGGAGAAAAUUCCAAAGAAGAAGUAGCACCAUGACUAGCCCUGGCCAGCCAAGGGGCUCCCAUGGGGUAACCGGGGUGACCACGCACCUGGGCAGAAGCCGUUGGGGCCGGUAAGAGGCGGCAGCCGUGAGGGUGGACCCAGCUUUUGAAGGAAAAUGGAAGAAAAGCAGCAUUAAGUGA
RNAcentral lists this long non-coding RNA (1577 nucleotides) under Homo sapiens (human). RNAcentral's name for it is "long non-coding RNA NONHSAT175732.1". The record is from RNAcentral. Lineage: Eukaryota; Metazoa; Chordata; Mammalia; Primates; Hominidae.